CCCACAGCCUGGGUGACCAAGAGAGAUUUCACCUCAAAAAAAAAAAAAAAAAAAGAAUAUGAUGAUUGGAGUUCUUGUAAUACCUGAUUAACAUCUCUGCAUAAUCAUAAUGACCAACACCCUGAUUGCUCCUACCUAAU
This 140-nucleotide small nucleolar RNA is filed under the name Nomascus leucogenys (northern white-cheeked gibbon). Its description in RNAcentral is "U8 small nucleolar RNA (ENSNLEG00000020006.2)". It matches the Rfam family "U8 small nucleolar RNA". Rfam says of the family: U8 is a member of the C/D class of snoRNA which contain the C (UGAUGA) and D (CUGA) box motifs. U8 is the RNA component of a small complex (the U8 snoRNP) which is required for accumulation of mature large subunit ribosomal RNAs, 5.8S and 28S rRNAs. The record is from Rfam by way of RNAcentral. Lineage: Eukaryota; Metazoa; Chordata; Mammalia; Primates; Hylobatidae.